AUGGGCGUGGCGCAACAGGUAGCGCAGCGGUCUCCAAAACCGCCGGUUGAGGGUUCGAGUCCUUCCGCCCAUG
RNAcentral lists this transfer RNA (73 nucleotides) under Nostocoides jenkinsii Ben 74. RNAcentral describes it as "Tetrasphaera jenkinsii Ben 74 tRNA". It matches the Rfam family "tRNA". Rfam says of the family: Transfer RNA (tRNA) molecules are approximately 80 nucleotides in length. Their secondary structure includes four short double-helical elements and three loops (D, anti-codon, and T loops). Further hydrogen bonds mediate the characteristic L-shaped molecular structure. tRNAs have two regions of fundamental functional importance: the anti-codon, which is responsible for specific mRNA codon recognition, and the 3' end, to which the tRNAs corresponding amino acid is attached (by aminoacyl-tRNA synthetases). tRNAs cope with the degeneracy of the genetic code in two manners: having more than one tRNA (with a specific anti-codon) for a particular amino acid; and 'wobble' base-pairing, i.e. permitting non-standard base-pairing at the 3rd anti-codon position. Lineage: Bacteria; Bacillati; Actinomycetota; Actinomycetes; Micrococcales; Intrasporangiaceae. The record is from Rfam by way of RNAcentral.